This 354-nucleotide ribosomal RNA is filed under the name uncultured bacterium. Its description in RNAcentral is "partial 16S ribosomal RNA". It matches the Rfam family "Bacterial small subunit ribosomal RNA", at positions 338 to 689 of the family's 1533-position model. The record is from RNAcentral.
CCUACGGGAGGCAGCAGUGAGGAAUAGUGGUCAAUGGGCGCGAGCCUGAACCAGCCAAGUAGCGUGAAGGAUGACUGCCCUACGGGUUGUAAACUUCUUUUAUAAAGGAAUAAAGUGAGGCACGUGUGCCUUUUUGUAUGGACUUUAUGAAUAAGGAUCGGCUAACUCCGUGCCAGCAGCCGCGGUAAUACGGAGGAGCCGAGCGUUAUCCGGAUUUAUUGGGGUUAAAGGGAGCGUAGAGGGGUUGUUACGUCCGUUGUGAAAGUUUGCGGCUCAACCGUAAAAUGGCAAUUGAUACUGGCAGUCUUGAGUACAGUUGCGUUAGGCGGACUUCGUGGUGUAGCGGUGACAUGC